This 455-nucleotide long non-coding RNA is filed under the name Cercocebus atys (sooty mangabey). RNAcentral's name for it is "lncRNA (ENSCATG00000045578.1)". The record is from RNAcentral. Lineage: Eukaryota; Metazoa; Chordata; Mammalia; Primates; Cercopithecidae.
CCGUGCCUCCAGCCCGGGGCCCGCACCCCGGCCCAGGUGCAGCUGCCUUGGCGACCAUUUGUCCUACAGUUUGUCUGGACCCAGGCUGUCCUGUGUGCUGGAAUGAGGCGAACAUGUCUAUGAGCCCGGCAGGGAGGAAUCCUCCAGCCUAUUCCUCGCUGGUACACCAGGUUGUUGGCAGGCCCUGACACGCAAGUAAGCAGGAACGUCGGAGCAGGAGGAGCCAGUGGAGCCAUCAGGACACCCAGGCCCAUGGGGCAGGAGGCCUCGGUCACCGCAGGACUGGGGCGGAAGACGAGAGACGGCCGGCCGUGAGGGAGGCACCCUCCCUCCCCCCGCUUACGACACGCGGCCAUGCAGUUUGGGACAGGACACCCCUGAGAGUGCAGGCACCUCCCCCUCCCGCCCCUCCAUCCCUCUGGGGGCUGCCGCCUGGCCCCCCCACCUGGUCCCCC